RNAcentral lists this ribosomal RNA (257 nucleotides) under uncultured bacterium. RNAcentral describes it as "partial 16S ribosomal RNA". It matches the Rfam family "Bacterial small subunit ribosomal RNA", at positions 335 to 606 of the family's 1533-position model. The record is from RNAcentral.
UUGCCUACGGGACGCAGCAGUGGGGAAUAUUGGGCAAUGGGCGCAAGCCUGACCCAGCAACGCCGCGUGAAGGAAGAAGGCUUUCGGGUUGUAAACUUCUUUUCUUGGGGACGAAGAAAGUGACGGUACCCAAGGAAUAAGCCACGGCUAACUACGUGCCAGCAGCCGCGGUAAUACGUAGGUGGCAAGCGUUAUCCGGAUUUAUUGGGAGUAAAGGGCGUGGAGGCGGGAUUGCAAGCCCGAUGUGAAAACCACGG